RNAcentral lists this ribosomal RNA (422 nucleotides) under uncultured bacterium. RNAcentral's name for it is "bacterial SSU rRNA". It matches the Rfam family "Bacterial small subunit ribosomal RNA", at positions 355 to 774 of the family's 1533-position model. The record is from RNAcentral.
UGAGGAAUAUUGGUCAAUGGGGGCAACCCUGAACCAGCCAAGUCGCGUGAAGGAUGAAGGUCUUAUGGAUUGUAAACUUCUUUUACACGGGAAUAAAGCGGGGGACGUGUCCCUCUUUGCAUGUACCGUGUGAAUAAGGAUCGGCUAACUCCGUGCCAGCAGCCGCGGUAAUACGGAGGAUCCGAGCGUUAUCCGGAUUUAUUGGGUUUAAAGGGUGCGCAGGCGGGAUGUUAAGUCGGCGGUGAAAUUUUGCAGCUCAACUGUAAAAGUGCCUUCGNUACUGGCCUCCUUGAGUGUGGAUGAAGUAGGCGGAAUUUGUGGUGUAGCGGUGAAAUGCUUAGAUAUCACGAGGAACUCCGAUUGCGCAGGCAGCUUACUAAGCCACAACUGACGCUCAUGCACGAAGGCGUGGGGAUCAAACA